GAUGAACGCUGGCGGCGUGCCUAAUACAUGCAAGUCGAGCGAACAGACGAGGAGCUUGCUCCUCUGACGUUAGCGGCGGACGGGUGAGUAACACGUGGAUAACCUACCUAUAAGACUGGGAUAACUUCGGGAAACCGGAGCUAAUACCGGAUAAUAUAUUGAACCGCAUUGUUCAAUAGUGAAAGACGGUUUUGCUGUCACUUAUAGAUGGAUCCGCGCCGCAUUAGCUAGUUGGUAAGGUAACGGCUUACCAAGGCAACGAUGCGUAGCCGACCUGAGAGGGUGAUCGGCCACACUGGAACUGAGACACGGUCCAGACUCCUACGGGAGGCAGCAGUAGGGAAUCUUCCGCAAUGGACGAAAGCCUGACGGAGCAACGCCGCGUGAGUGAUGAAGGUCUUCGGAUCGUAAAACUCUGUUAUUAGGGAAGAACAAAUGUGUAAGUAACUAUGCACAUCUUGACGGUACCUAAUCAGAAAGCCACGGCUAACUACGUG
Molecule: ribosomal RNA, 497 nt
Filed under: uncultured bacterium
Lineage: Bacteria
Description: partial 16S ribosomal RNA
Rfam family: Bacterial small subunit ribosomal RNA
Source: RNAcentral